UGGGGAAUAUUGCACAAUGGGCGCAAGCCUGAUGCAGCCAUGCCGCGUGUGUGAAGAAGGCCUUCGGGUUGUAAAGCACUUUCAGCGAGGAGGAAGGUGGUGAACUUAAUACGUUCAUCAAUUGACGUUACUCGCAGAAGAAGCACCGGCUAACUCCGUGCCAGCAGCCGCGGUAAUACGGAGGGUGCAAGCGUUAAUCGGAAUUACUGGGCGUAAAGCGCACGCAGGCGGUUUGUUAAGUCAGAUGUGAAAUCCCCGGGCUCAACCUGGGAACUGCAUUUGAAACUGGCAAGCUAGAGUCUCGUAGAGGGGGGUAGAAUUCCAGGUGUAGCGGUGAAAUGCGUAGAGAUCUGGAGGAAUACCGGUGGCGAAGGCGGCCCCCUGGACGAAGACUGACGCUCAGGUGCGAAAAGCGUGGGGAGCAAAACAGGAUUAGAUACCCUGGUAGUCCACGCUGUAAACGAUGUCGAUUUUGGAGGUUGUGCCCUUGAGGCGUGGCUUCCGGAGCUAACG
This 513-nucleotide ribosomal RNA is filed under the name uncultured bacterium. Its description in RNAcentral is "partial 16S ribosomal RNA". It matches the Rfam family "Bacterial small subunit ribosomal RNA", at positions 355 to 857 of the family's 1533-position model. The record is from RNAcentral.